This 450-nucleotide ribosomal RNA is filed under the name uncultured bacterium. RNAcentral's name for it is "bacterial SSU rRNA". It matches the Rfam family "Bacterial small subunit ribosomal RNA", at positions 355 to 796 of the family's 1533-position model. The record is from RNAcentral.
UGGGGAAUUGUUCGCAAUGGGCGCAAGCCUGACGACGCAACGCCGCGUGGAGGAUGAAGACCUUCGGGUCGUAAACUCCUUUCGACCGAGAUGAAUUCCUGCCGACCUAACACGUCGGCGGGGUGACAGUAUCGAGGGAAGCAGCCCCGGCUAACUCCGUGCCAGCAGCCGCGGUAAUACGGGGGGGGCAAGCGUUGUUCGGAAUUACUGGGCGUAAAGGGUUAGUAGGUGGCCAACUAAGUCAGACGUGAAAUCCCUCAGCUUAACUGGGGAACUGCGUCUGAGACUGAUCGGCUCGAGGACAGGAGAGGAACGCGGAAUUCCAGGUGUAGCGGUGAAAUGCGUAGAUAUCUGGAGGAACACCGGUGGCGAAGGCGGCGUUCUGGACUGUUUCUGACACUGAAAAACGAAAGCCAGGGGAGCAAACGGGAUUAGAUACCCGCGUAGUCC